This 102-nucleotide Y RNA is filed under the name Saimiri boliviensis boliviensis (Bolivian squirrel monkey). RNAcentral's name for it is "Y RNA (ENSSBOG00000000081.1)". It matches the Rfam family "Y RNA". Rfam says of the family: Y RNAs are components of the Ro ribonucleoprotein particle (Ro RNP), in association with Ro60 and La proteins. The Y RNAs and Ro60 and La proteins are well conserved, but the function of the Ro RNP is not known. Lineage: Eukaryota; Metazoa; Chordata; Mammalia; Primates; Cebidae. The record is from Rfam by way of RNAcentral.
GGCUGUUCUGAGUGCAGUGGUGUUUACAACUAAUUGAUCACAACCAGUUACAGAUUUCUUUGUUCCUUCUCCAUUCCCACUGCUUCACUUGAUUAGGCUUAA